RNAcentral lists this non-coding RNA (24 nucleotides) under Arabidopsis thaliana (thale cress). Lineage: Eukaryota; Viridiplantae; Streptophyta; Magnoliopsida; Brassicales; Brassicaceae. The record is from RNAcentral.
ACGCGGAUAUCAAGUUUUGGGCGG